GGAAGCGGGACGUACCAAGCGGCAGGCGGCGGAGGGGUGCGGGCCGGAACUCCGCCCUUCGUGCUGGUCGGUCUCCACGCCCCACUCGGACUAGUGUCACCGCCUCCCCGCCGCAGACACUAUCCGACAAAGGAGGGGGAAUCAAAGGCUGGGCGAAGAGGCAGGGCAGGCGCCGGUGACGCUGCUGGGCAAGCGGGCUCUGCAGUAGCAUUUGUGGCGACCGUGGCAGUGGCUGUGACUGGAAGCUUCUGGAAAUGGCGGCGAUGAGGACCCCCACAUAGGGAUGGCCAUAGCAGCCACAAAAGGAAGCAAACAAGAACAAGUCCUGAUGGAGCAAUUUAUGAAGACAGGCAGCAUAGAGGGAGAAGAACCUGUCUGUCAACCCCACACACGCUUUCCCAGACGUCUCCUGAAAGCUGAGCAUUUGUUAUCUUAAAGCCUCUUACCAGUUUGGAUAGAUAUGGAUCUUCCAAAAUUAAUGAGCUCCUUAAUAUCGACACUGUUUAUCAACAUAAAGGAUCAAUUUAGGAAGAUUAUAAAAACUGAAGUUUCCGGAACAAUAAAUGGGAGAAUUAAUCUUCUGAAUCAAGGACGUAUCCCUGAAUCUGGGGAGCUCUCUAUCAAAAUAUACAUGCUGGAACCCUACCAAAGGAAUAAUAAAUCUGGAAUGAGGCUCUGACUGUCUAAUUAGGAAAAGACUCCUUCCUGGAAUUCUGCACAUCUCCCUACACCUUAGUGACGGUUAAAUAAAUAAUUAUUAAGCUUCUGGA
RNAcentral lists this long non-coding RNA (770 nucleotides) under Homo sapiens (human). RNAcentral describes it as "non-protein coding NDUFV2-AS1:4". Lineage: Eukaryota; Metazoa; Chordata; Mammalia; Primates; Hominidae. The record is from RNAcentral.